UUAUAACACAAUAUUUUCCUGUCCGUUUCACUCUGACGAAAACAAAUUAAAUUAAUUGAUCACAAUCAAACAGCCCACCUUUAUGUUCAUUUUUAAAAACAAAUGCUUGUCCAUUCAUAAAAUGAUACAGUUUUUUAAGUAAUAGUUUUGGGGUUAAACAACGAGUAACUAGGGUGAGAUUUGAGCGACGCUCUACUAAAACAGUGAAAUUGCUUAAAACCUUUAAUGAAAAUAGGAGCUUACAAAAUUCAACAAGUUAUGGUUCAAAAUGGCGGGAACUCUACCACCAUAAAACUAUAUUAGUUGAACCUAAACUGUUACCACAGACAGGGAAUGGGACUAACGACUGCACGGGCAAUGUUCAAGAAUCGUCAGACGACUUCACCCAGUCUCAGCCAGAGUCAUUGCUGUUACCAUAGCCAUAGCCGUAGUAUGACAAACUAAUGAACUAUAAUAUACUCCGUGGAAAAAAAUCUCUGUUUUUUUAUUUAAUAGUAGUAAUAAUGUAAUAAUUUGGGUUAAUUAUUGGUCAAGGCAGUUCAAAUCCUAUAUUUUAGCAGCGAGUACCGCAAACUGGCAUCGGUGACACCGAUGCCGAUUUAACAUCAAAUAAUUAGGUUGACAAAUAUGACAUGGUUUGUGUGGCACACUUUUCUGUGAAACAUUUAAAGGCAUUCAAAAGAAAAGUAUAAUUUUGUUGUUUGGAACCGUUAGAUUAUUUGAAACCUCUUCAAAUGUAGAUGUCUACAAUAAAACUUACAUGUGAAAAUUUCGUUCCAUUAUCUGGUCGUGUUUUGAGAUAUAGCCGAAAAUACGGAGCGAAUAAUUAUGACCACACAUGAAGAAUGAUUCCUAAUUGGAAUACAUCAUUUGAGAAGAGUACUGACAGUAACGCUUCUCAGCUUCUCAGCUGGUGUAGGCUUUAAACCAAACGUUUAUAUGGCCAUUAAUUUUAAAAGUGAUUACCUAAGGUAAAACCCCGAAGGUUAAAACAUUAUCAAAUUGUUUUGAAAUUAAGCAAGAACGAGUGUGCCUAAAAUUUCUGUUCGAUGAUAACGAUGUUGCCACUUGUCUAUGGUCCUCAGAAAGUGAAAACCACAACUUUGGUGUCAUGUUUCAAGAGGUCAAGAUAAACAUAAUGUGCCCUUGCCUUUUACAAACCCUCGUAAUUUAACAAAAAUAUACGAAUGCCGAAAAAAGACGAUACUGGUAAAGUACGUUUUACAUUACAAACAUAUUUGUCACUGGCCUUUGACGUUAACGUUUAAUACUUGCCUGAAAAUGACAACUUCUUUAUGUCACACAAGCUUCCCUUGUACAUGUCAACCUAAUCUCUUUAAAAGUUAUCACAAAAUAUUGCAAUAAGACUUACUUCUUGAUUUAUUAUUAAAGCUCACCUGUUCCAGCAGGCUAACUAAAUAUGCAUAUUUGGCCCAAAGCCUUAGAGCAAACCUUUGACUAUGAUGCUUUUUAAGUGAUUGUUGAUCGCAUCAAAAUUAAGCUGUGAUUCUCACCUUAUUUUCGACCAUAAAUAAAAACAUUUUUCAUUGGAAAGGUACUUAGAGGAACUCAAUAAAAAAACACAUUCUGACGAAUUUACGUGUCUGAUCUUUUUUUUCCCUUUCGCCUCUGUGAGUGUGUUGUGGCAAUACGGUGAACGAACUUACUAUUCCCGAUUAUUCCUGAAAAAAAUGAAUAUUUCUUAAUAUUCAUGAGCUAACCAGGUACCAUCCAACCAACAAAUAGCACUUAUAGGUGACGCGCUGGUAUCUUGAUCAUCAGUAUACCGUUUUCUAAAUAAGUCAGAGUUUGGUCGAAAAGAUAAGGCAGUCACGUGAAAUGCAUACCAUUGUGUUAUAUGUACUUGUGUUAAUUAGCUCCUAUCAACAAUUGUGGACAGAAUAUGAUGAGGCACCAGUCGCAACAGUUUAUCGAGUUGUUAUAAUUCUACCCAAAACACACUAUUUAGAAUUUGUAACCAUUCUUGGAAAUUAAGGAGCUCACACCAAGGUUACCUAACCAUGUCAGACGAUACUAAGAUAACCCAGGUCGACACUAUUGAUUCGGAAACUACGAACUCGGAUAUCGAUGAUCCCGUACGAUCCAAAAGACGAUGGCGUCCGAAAUCUUCGUCAUUCGGUGGUUUGGUCAUCCUGGCAACCCUCGUCAUCGGAAGCAUAUUUGUCUCACUGGCUGAUGUGAAAAUUUAAAUUUACUCCGACGUGAUCAUCCAGCAAUGAUCCGUAUCGAUAAAGACAUGUUGAAAGAAAAAUAUGUUUGUUUACAUAUUUUAGUAAGGAUUAUGUUCUUUACAGUUGUCAUAAAUCCGAUUGCAUCUUACAAAUUACAUUCUGUAUUACACUAAUGCAAGUCAAAUACAAACCUCAAUUGUGUCAUAUUAUCUUAUCCUGCAUUAACUAUUGAGUUUGAUCGUUUAACUUUGAAUCAUGCAAACAAAUAUUUAGUGAUGACCUGAAGUUUAGACCCUAGCAAAAGUCAGGCCACUUACUACUUGUUUACAUUUAAAAGCAUUAUGUUCCGAAACUGUUUAAGAAAACCUUUUAAAAUACAUUCCAGUGAAAUUAUAAGUUCCUAACAUCAAAGAUACCAGAGGUAAAUCAAACGGAUUAAAUAAAGAGUUUGUUUUGAGCAAAGACAGUUCUUUGUUUAUACUUUUCUCCGAAUGCUUCAAUCUAGCUUCUGUUUAAUGUUUUGAAUAUUAAAACAUGAAUAUAUUUUAUUAUUAGGUAGUUGCUUUCCCACACCAUAUUUUUUUUUCUUUUACUGACAAACAUAGUACUUACAAAUAUACACACUUGGGUAAAAAUCUACAUUCAUCAUUACAUUAUAAUCUGUAUGGGUAUACAUAUUAACAUACGCAAGUGGAGUAAUCUAAGUUGAAGAGACGCAUAGGUGCACAACCCAUUGGGACAAGGAGGCAAGGCAAUUACCAAUUGUUCUAUAGAAUGUUCAUGUAAAACAUUACCAAAUAAUCUUACUUGUGAUUAAGGAACAUUAUUAAGCUUUCCUAAAACAGCAAUUGAAAUGGUGAUUCAUGGUGAUGUAAUGUUGCUACUGCACCUGUGAUUACAUCUUUAUAGCUGCUAUUCUAUGUUUAUCUAAUUAUAGCUAAUGUAUAUUUUAGAUAGCUUCAAUUAUGUUGUUUAAAAAUGUCUGGAGUGAAAUUGCCAUCAGUAAAUUUCAGUUUUCCUUUCGCAACAUUUUUGUUUUGUCAUGAGCAUUAGAUAUAAUGCAUUCCGGGGUUACGGUACGGCGCUUAAAAACAGCGGCCGUCUGUCAGUGUGUGUACCGUGAGAAGGCGCUCCGACCCCCGAUACCGUGCUCCCUCUGCACGGUGUUUGUUUGCAGGUCUGGCUGCGUUUCAAAUUCACGGUUUGUUUCACUAUAAAACAGACUACCUGAACUGUCGAUUAUUUUUCUGGUGAAAUAUUGUGCCAUUGACGAUUCAAGUUGUGUAAUUUUAGGGAAUAAAUUCCAUUCUAGUUUAGACCUAUAUCACACAAAAAAGACGUUUUUCUCAGAACAAACGAUUAUUACACCAACAAAUACAUGUGUAUUUAUUGUUGUUAAUGGGAGAAAUGAUUCCUUUUAAUCGUCAAACAAAAUGUAUUCCAAAUGGGGGAAAAAAAUUAGCACUUUCAUCACAGUUAUGAGCUGAGAUUCUGUAUUAAUACACGCUAGACUUUCUAGUAUGCAAACUACGGGUUGGCUUCAAAAUGGCAGCGAUCGUUCCGACUUCUAUGCCGUGUAAACGCAGUUUCAGACCCGAUGCAGAAUGUGCCCGUCACGCUACAUUGUUGACAGUUUAAAUUCCUACGUGAUGUCCUUGUAAUGUACUUGUUCGUACUUUAUAGUUAGCGGAUGCAUGGUGAUAUUGUAUGCAGUUUGCGUUUGAAUAUCCCAAUAAUUAACAAUAUUUAAGUAACCAUUGCUGAAGAAUGUCUUAUGGCAAAAUUUCACUGGUCGGAGCAGAAAAUACUGCUCAGCAAGUUUCUUUGCGUUACUAAAACUGAAAGGGCACCAGUUGAAACAAUGCAAACUUUAAGUAAUUUUAACUGGUAACCUGUCUCUGUGAUAAGUUGUUUUGCUUACAGGCUCUUUGAAAUUACAUUAGCAUUACGUUACAAAGUACUAAAAACAUUACCUGUGUAAAUGUUCAUCAAGUAACAUUACUUCUUCAACCUUGGUAGAUUUUCUUUUAAUGGAACCCGACAUUGAAUGCGGGGUAAUGAAGCAAAUUAAAAUAGUUCUAUGUAUGUUAAAUUGCA
Long non-coding RNA from Asterias rubens (European starfish), 4289 nucleotides. RefSeq lists it as uncharacterized. The record is from RefSeq and is a predicted model, not a curated record. NCBI's taxonomy places the organism in Eukaryota, Metazoa, Echinodermata, Asteroidea, Forcipulatida, Asteriidae. The transcript is spliced from 2 exons.